This 253-nucleotide ribosomal RNA is filed under the name uncultured bacterium. RNAcentral's name for it is "partial 16S ribosomal RNA". It matches the Rfam family "Bacterial small subunit ribosomal RNA", at positions 524 to 776 of the family's 1533-position model. The record is from RNAcentral.
UACAGAGGUCUCAAGCGUUGUUCGGAUUCAUUGGGCGUAAAGCGUGUGUAGGCGGUCCGCUAAGUCGGGUGUGAAAUCCCUGGGCUCAACCCAGGAAGUGCACUCGAAACUGGCGGGCUAGAGUAUCGGAGAGGUUGGUGGAAUUCUCGGUGUAGAGGUGAAAUUCGUAGAUAUCGAGAGGAACACCGGUGGCGAAGGCGGCCAACUGGACGAAUACUGACGCUGAGACACGAAAGCGUGGGGAGCAAACAGG